Molecule: long non-coding RNA, 484 nt
Filed under: Mytilus galloprovincialis (Mediterranean mussel)
Lineage: Eukaryota; Metazoa; Mollusca; Bivalvia; Mytilida; Mytilidae
Source: RNAcentral
UCUCUUGGUAUCGUCUGAUUUCUUAUAUGAAUAUAAAUCAUGUCCUUAAAUUUUCAAUUGCACAAAAUACGAACAUUUCAACGUCUUUUUAAUUAAACAAUUAAAUUCACACGUCUUUCAUUUAUUAUUUGUAACCUAUUAUAAAACUUUACGUUGAGUACUGUGUUUUUCGUUCAAGACUACGGCUUUUUAAAACGAUAUUGUUGGGUCAAUUCAGGUUUCAUUUUAAUUAUUUGAUAUCAAUAGAAGAAAAAUUGUUACAUGUUUAUUUGUUUAUAAUUUUGUUGUAAGGCGUUUUUUCUUUCUGUUGAUAUCAUAAACACGAAAUGCCUUCUCCUACGCGUCUAAAAAAAACCAGUGUUCUUUAGUCAGACUGCACACAGAACAACUUACAGAAUGCUGUGAUUUCUAAUUAGAGUUAUUUAGAUAAUUUCUAUGAGGUUUUAAGACAGCACAGGCGUGCUCGUUGGAUUCACCAUAGACC